GGGCAGGCGGCGUGCUAUACAUGCAGUCGAGCGGACAGAUGGGAGCUUGCUCCCUGAUGUUAGCGGCGGACGGGUGAGUAACACGUGGGUAACCUGCCUGUAAGACUGGGAUAACUCCGGGAAACCGGGGCUAAUACCGGAUGCUUGUUUGAACCGCAUGGUUCAAACAUAAAAGGUGGCUUCGGCUACCACUUACAGAUGGACCCGCGGCGCAUUAGCUAGUUGGUGAGGUAAUGGCUCACCAAGGCAACGAUGCGUAGCCGACCUGAGAGGGUGAUCGGCCACACUGGGACUGAGACACGGCCCAGACUCCUACGGGAGGCAGCAGUAGGGAAUCUUCCGCAAUGGACGAAAGUCUGACGGAGCAACGCCGCGUGAGUGAUGAAGGUUUUCGGAUCGUAAAGCUCUGUUGUUAGGGAAGAACAAGUACCGUUCGAAUAGGGCGGUACCUUGACGGUACCUAACCAGAAAGCCACGGCUAACUACGUGCCAGCAGCCGCGGUAAUACGUAGGUGGCAAGCGUUGUCCGGAAUUAUUGGGCGUAAAGGGCUCGCAGGCGGUUCCUUAAGUCUGAUGUGAAAGCCCCCGGCUCAACCGGGGAGGGUCAUUGGAAACUGGGGAACUUGAGUGCAGAAGAGGAGAGUGGAAUUCCACGUGUAGCGGUGAAAUGCGUAGAGAUGUGGAGGAACACCAGUGGCGAAGGCGACUCUCUGGUCUGUAACUGACGCUGAGGAGCGAAAGCGUGGGGAGCGAACAGGAUUAGAUACCCUGGUAGUCCACGCCGUAAACGAUGAGUGCUAAGUGUUAGGGGGUUUCCGCCCCUUAGUGCUGCAGCUAACGCAUUAAGCACUCCGCCUGGGGAGUACGGUCGCAAGACUGAAACUCAAAGGAAUUGACGGGGGCCCGCACAAGCGGUGGAGCAUGUGGUUUAAUUUCGAAGCAACGCGAAG
RNAcentral lists this ribosomal RNA (950 nucleotides) under Bacillus subtilis. Its description in RNAcentral is "bacterial SSU rRNA". It matches the Rfam family "Bacterial small subunit ribosomal RNA", at positions 33 to 966 of the family's 1533-position model. Lineage: Bacteria; Bacillati; Bacillota; Bacilli; Caryophanales; Bacillaceae. The record is from RNAcentral.